CCGCGGGAUUAGAGUUUGAUCCUGGCUCAGGACAAACGCUGGCGGCGUACCUAAGACAUGCAAGUCGAACGGCUCUUCUAGGGGGGAGCAGUGGCGGACGGGUGAGUAACACGUAUGGAACCUAGCAUGGGCAGGGGGAUAACACUGGGAAACCAGUGCUAAGACCGCGUACGCUCUUGUUGCUGCGAUGCAAGAAGAGGAGAAGGCUUGUCCGAGGAGGGGAGCCUGGCCGAUGGGGGGCGUGCGCCUGAUUAGCUAGUUGGUGGGGUAACGGCCUACCAAGGCGACGAUCAGUAGCUGGUCUGAGAGGAUGAUCAGCCACACUGGGACUGAGACACGGCCCAGACUCCUACGGGAGGCAGCAGUUAGGGAAUUUUCACACUGGGCGCAAGCCUGAUGGAGUAACGCCGCGUGGGCGAUGACGGCCUUCGGGUUGUAAAGCCCUUUUCUGGGGGAAGACAGCAGGACGGUACCCCAGGAAGAAGCCUCGGCUAACUACGUGCCAGCAGCCGCGGUAAUACGUAGGAGGCGAGCGUUGUCCGGAAUUACUGGGCGUAAAGCGCGUGUAGGCGGUCGCAUACGUCGGGGAUGAAAGCCCUCUGCUCAACGGGGGGAGUGUUCGCGAAACGGUACGACUUGGUGGAGUCUGGUAGGGGGGUGCGGAAUGGCCGGUGGAGCGGUGAAAUGCGUAGAGAUCGGUCAGAACACCAGUGGCGAAGGCGGCACCCUGNGCCAGUACUGACGCUGAGACGCGAAAGCGUGGGGAGCGAACGGAAUUAGAUACUCCGGUAGUCCACGCC
This 800-nucleotide ribosomal RNA is filed under the name uncultured bacterium. Its description in RNAcentral is "bacterial SSU rRNA". It matches the Rfam family "Bacterial small subunit ribosomal RNA", at positions 1 to 801 of the family's 1533-position model. The record is from RNAcentral.